UAAACGACUCUCGGCAACGGAUAUCUCGGCUCACGCAUCGAUGAAGAACGUAGCAAAAUGCGAUACUUGGUGUGAAUUGCAGAAUCCCGUGAACCAUCGAGUUUUUGAACGCAAGUUGCGCCCGAAGCCAUCUGGUUGAGGGCACGUCUGCUUGGGCGUCACGU
RNAcentral lists this ribosomal RNA (164 nucleotides) under Pectis papposa var. papposa. RNAcentral describes it as "5.8S ribosomal RNA". It matches the Rfam family "5.8S ribosomal RNA". Rfam says of the family: 5.8S ribosomal RNA (5.8S rRNA) is a component of the large subunit of the eukaryotic ribosome. It is transcribed by RNA polymerase I as part of the 45S precursor that also contains 18S and 28S rRNA. Lineage: Eukaryota; Viridiplantae; Streptophyta; Magnoliopsida; Asterales; Asteraceae. The record is from RNAcentral.